CCUGGUGGUUAUACCGAGGGGGUCACACCCGUUCCCAUUCCGAAUACGGAAGUUAAGCCCCUCAGGGCCGAUGGUACUUAGCUGGCAACGGUUCGGGAGAGUAGGACGCCGCCGGGU
This 117-nucleotide ribosomal RNA is filed under the name Candidatus Omnitrophota bacterium. Lineage: Bacteria; Pseudomonadati; Candidatus Omnitrophota. The record is from RNAcentral.